AAGUCGUAACAAGGUUUCCGUAGGUGAACCUGCGGAAGGAUCAUUGAAAAUACUGGCCGAAAAGGCCGGGUUCUUGUGGAAUCCAAUUUUGGUUUUCUCUUGAGCGCCACGUGUGAAAGGUCCAGCUGUGAAUUUAAAAGCUGGUCCUGGUUUGUUAUGAGCCAGUGACUAUCUUUCAAAAUUUUUCUGCUGCCCUGUAGCACUGACAGAGUCGGAGAACUCUUUUCACUGUUUUUUUUUUGUUUUAUGACAAAACACCUAUAAAUUUUAGUCUGAUGAGUUCAAGGUUUCAAAGUCUGCUUAGGACUUGGAAAUUUUGUGCAAACUUUAUACAACUUUUAACAAUGGAUCUCUUGGCUCUC
This 362-nucleotide unclassified non-coding RNA is filed under the name fungal sp. RNAcentral describes it as "partial internal transcribed spacer region". The stretch from base 1 to 46 matches the Rfam family "Eukaryotic small subunit ribosomal RNA", at positions 1786 to 1831 of the family's 1831-position model. RNAcentral also lists the same sequence under 1 other name. Lineage: Eukaryota; Fungi. The record is from RNAcentral.